This is a non-coding RNA of Rattus norvegicus (Norway rat), 7777 nucleotides long. The record is from RefSeq and is a predicted model, not a curated record. Lineage: Eukaryota; Metazoa; Chordata; Mammalia; Rodentia; Muridae.
UGCUGCGUGAGGCCGCUGGGGGCGCCAGAGAGGCGCAGAGUGCGCGGGGCCGGGGAGAGCGCGGAGUCCAGCAGGCUGAGAGCAGAGCCUGAGUGCGCGGCUGGUUCAGUGGGGCAGGGUCACCUCGCAAGGAUGCUGCACCCCGCCGCCCUGUCCAGCCAGCAACCCGGAGACUGGUGCAACUCCGGAAAGAAGCAAAGGUUCUUUCGCCCAGUCGCCGCUGGAGGACCGAAAGUUUUGCUCGCUGCAAAUCCCUUCCUCCCAAAGUCCCAGUCACCCACCGCGCGACGUCCUGGAAGGAUCCCGGAGGUUUAGUGGGGACGAAAUCGGCUGGUUCGCACCCCUCCAUCCUUAUCUCUCAGGACAGAGCGGGAGCUCUAGCGAGUACACCUCCCACCUACCAUCCGCUUCACCCUGUCUCAUUUCUCGGUGAGCCUUGGAACCCGAUCGCUUAGCAGAUGCCUUCAGGAAGCAGAAGCAAAGGGGAAAUGGACUUAACUCCAAGAAUCAGAUAGUGAAUGUCCACCCUCAGCAAAGGCUUUGCCGCUGUGACCUUCUUUGAUCUCACCCCACCACUACAACGAGGGAGGCCUAAACCUUGUCCACUGGCAGCAUUUGAAGAUCCAGUUGCUGCUAUGGGUUGGAAGGCACCUGUGGAGUGAAAGAGGACAUAGCCACGUAAGUACAGCAUCUUAUUGCUGCCUGGUUAUUUGUAAGCCAUCGUUUUCCUACUCCAAAUCAAGGGCUUCCUGGGGCUUAGGCACAACACUACAGACAGCCCUUAUCCCCAGUUCAUGGAUGAUGAAAUCGAGCCCCUCAGAGACGCUCCUUCCCAUUGUCUCCCCCAGUUCCCUAGACAUCAAACGCCCAGCCAGCGCUCUUUCCGCCAUUCACGUCACAGGCAUUAUAGAUUUCUUACAACAACCUGCCUGGAAAAUGGCUGUGCGGUGGCAUCAGGAAUGUGCAGGCUCUCUAAGGCUCACAGUGGAUUAGACAGACCAGAGAGGGGACGGUGUCACUGAUGACUAUGCAUGAGUCACCAACUCCACUGAGAGUUUUACACUUUGUGAGAACAGGAGUCACUCACCCUGUGACCACACAGAGAGACUGCUCUGUGCAGUACAGAGCGGUCUCCAAGAGCGUGUUUAAGUUGGCCAUUUCCCAAGAACUCUCUCAUACUGGAGAGAUACAAUGCUUUGGGUCACGGAAUAAUAAGAUGGCCUUGGUUCUAAUGUUGCUUGAUUCACCCUACACUGGACUAGGAGGAGACACUGACAUACAUCAGCUUAAUAAAUCUGACACUGAGGAGGGGCAGUGUGUGUGGUUUCAAUUACAGAUUGACCCAGGAUUGAUUGAACUGUCUGCUCUGCUCUGGCAGGGAUGGAGUCCAAGGAUUGGCUGGACUCUUGUGAGAGGUGGGUAUUGAAGCAUCAAUCAGCUGAUGGGCUCCAUGUCGCUUUGUAUCCUGGGAGAAUCAAAUUAUGAGUAAAAUGCCACAGUGACAUGGGAACAAUGACACCAGGAGGAUUAGCUCAGCCUGCCCCAGUGUUCAUUCAUUCCUUGUACCUGCACAGCCCCACCAAAACAAACCUUCCCUGCCCCCUGUCCUGUUCUCACCUUGUUCUUUAUCUUUAGUGUGACCACACCCACAUGUUUAGCCUUGUGUGAAAUUUCAGCAUGCAGGAGACUGAGACAUAAGGAUCACAAGUUCAAGGCCACCCUGUGCUAUGUGUCAAGACCUUGUUUUAAACAAAGGAAAAGGGAAGGAAAAAAAAACAGCAGUACAUAUUUUUCCUAAAAGUUCUGUUUAGUAAAUGCCUCCGAGUCAACUUCUGACUUGCUUCUCUCAUCUGCCAAGGUAAUAUUCAGUGCCUGGAGGCAUGAGAAUAAGAGAAAAAGAUUGGGGGAGAGCGAGUAAUGGAAGAGGAAAUCAAGGGGAAUAUGGAGGAGGGCAAGGGCAUCCUCUCUCAUGGUUGGAGCCUCCAGCCUCCCAGUGUCCACGUGAGUUUUUCCGCUGCUCACGUGAACGGACAAGAGAAAGUCUGCCUUCUUCUGUGUGAAGCUUAGAGUUGAGGCCAAACACAUUCCGCUGAGAAACUCAAGGUUGUGGCUCUCAGCCAUGAAGAGUGAGAUGCCUCCCAAGCUGAGCUGGGUCGAGGAAGGCCUGAGUUCACUGUCUGCCUCCUUCCCACAUACCCUGCAUCAGCAAGAUUGAAGAAGCUGUCAGGGUCUGCACUCAGUCUCUCAUGCAAAGAGCUACUCAUGAGAUCCCUUCUGGAAACCCAGGUUCCUCAGGGUGCCCACUCGUCCUGGUAAUGGGGUGGGGAUAACAGGUCACUUCAAUUGCCAGUCACUGUAAGUACCUUGCAUGUGUAAUGACAGUAACAUAUCACCCAAUGCAGUGAGGACUCUGUUUGAGGCACAGUCAAAAUUAGUUGAAACUUAGAAAUGUAUUUUAAUCUCUGAUACGCCUCUGAGUAUCCACUGUCAUUAAUAACUACCGUGGUUCACCCUGAUUUUGAGAUGGAAGUCUAGGCUGGACCUGUUUCACUGACUCAUGGCAGCAAGAGCCUGGCUUCAAGUCAGCUUGUGUGAUCUUCAUUUGGAAAAUAUGUGUGUGUGUGUGUGUGUGUGUGUGUGUGUGUGUGUGUGUGUGUGUGUGUGUAUGAUAUUAUGCAUGUGCCUGCCUGUGUGCCUAUGUUUUGUUUCCUGUUGCCGUGAUAAAAUUCCCUGACAAAACAACCUAGGAAGGGUCUGUUUUAGCCCACAGUUCUAGUGGCAGUCCAUCAUAGUGGGGAAGUCACAGGAGCAAUCAGAGGCAGCAAACGGACACACUCUCCUCUUCAGCAUGAACAGGUCCUAGCCCUGAAAUGGUGCCACCCACAUUCAGUGUAGGCCUUCCCACCUUAAUUAACCCACUCCAAAAAAAACAAAACAAAACAAAACAAACAAAAAAAACCAAAAAAACCAAAAACAAAACAAAAAAACAAAACGUUCUUUUCCAGGCUUGCCCACAGGUCAAGCCAAUCUAGACAGUUUUUCAUGGAGACUCUUCCUAGGCGAUUCCAUAUUGUAAUAAAUGGACAAUUGUGACAAACCAUCCAAGUCUUCAAGUCUAAGUCUGGCUCUGAGUCACCCAGAACUUGUUCAAAUCAGGGUACUCGAUGGAUCAUCCUCCUCCAAUUUCUGAUUUAGUAGGUCGCAGGACAGGCCUGAAGGUAUGACUAACAAGUCUUUGGUUGUGUGGUCAAGGAUGCUCCAGACUAUAUAUGGAGUACAGCCUAUCUACCCUAGGGUCCCAUUCUUGACUCAGACCUCUCCUUCUUAAGUUCUUUCUGGAAAGAGUGAACAGAAAUUAAGCGCUCGUGCGCGCGCGCGCACACACACACACACACACACACACACACACACACACACACACCCUAUGAAUAACAGGCCUAAGUUACCUGUGGGAUGGAGAAGAAACACGUGUGACUGCACCUGCAGUGUGGACAUGCGUUGCAAACUGCUAAAGCACGCAGCCACGCGGGGCCCACUUUAUAUGGAUCUAAUUCCAUGUCUCAAGCAGGCCAAUUCACAGAGGCAGGAAGCAGAUGAAUGGCUGUUCAGGACUGGGAGCAAGGAGGAAUGGGGAGUACUGCUUACCGGGUUUCCCUUUGGGAUGAUAAAAAUGUCCUAGAGCUAGAUAUUUGUGAUAGCUGCACCACCAUUGUAAAUGUAUUUUAUACUGCUAAAUCAAAUGCCUUCAGGUGACCAAAAAGGUAAGUUUUACGAUGCGAGUAUUUUACCACGAUAAAAUAUUAAACGUGUGAAUGAAGUCCUGAUUCAACUCAAUUUAGGUGGCCAGUUGAAAUGUUUACAGGAUUACGGCCGAGAAUGCAAAGGACCUACAGGACUCACAUAAAAGAGUCACCAGGGGUGUCAUACCAUAAGUCUACCUUAGGCACCGUCUGGAGUGCGGAGUCUAGAGGUGAAGCACCUAUGGGUUUAAAGCACACCUCCAAAGACUCCCCUGUGCAGCCAGGACAGGGGCUCGUGGCCACUGGCACCAACCCUUGUUUGGGAACACGGUGAGGAGUUCUUGGGAUCAGCCCAGCUCUCAGGCCUUGGAGAUCAGCUUUGCUACCUCAGACAAAUCCUGAAGAGAACAGCAUUUCACAGAGUUUGUGAGAUAUACACGGAGGGACGGGACCAUGUCUGAUCUCUGCCACUGCCUGGAAGGGAAGCACAGUGCCCUGGGCACGUGGAAGUCCCACACUGCAGCGGCUUCACCCUCAGUCCAGCUUGCUCCCUUCCAUAGGGAGAGAGCGUGGUGAGGUAGAGUUAGUAUCAAGAGGCUAAGGCCCAUAGAAAUUCAUUCUGUCCCAAAUUCAAAUCUUCUUUUGUCUGUCAAAACCCAAAUAAAGAUAAAAUUCACUCAUAAUUUCUAAUAAAAGUAUUGUUUGAACUUUUCCAAGGGUUAGUUCAGUUUAUACACAUAGGUGAUAUUGGGAAUAUAUAUGUAUAUGUAUAUGUGUAUGUAUGUAUGUAUGUAUUCAACCAUGUUGUGGUACAGAUACAGUAAUAUACUCUGUAUUCUUUCUCUUGGCUCUGUGUCUUCAGCACUGUUUGGUUUCAGUAGUUUGUUCCUGACAUUUUGUUCUUGUUUCUGAGACAGGAACUCACUAUUUCGUUCCUGGAACUCACUAUGUAAGCCAGGUUAUUCUUGAAUGCACAGAGAUCCAGCGGCCUCUGCUUCCCGAGUGCUGGAAUUAAAGGUGUGUGCCACGAUGCCUGGCCAUUACUGACAUUUUAACAGUGACAUCGUAUUUCAUGGUGGUUUUACCACAGCUUCCUUUGAUAAUCUGUCAUUAAGCCUUAGCCUGCUUCCGAGUUUCCAGUGUUUGGAACCAUGCCAGGUAGAAGCAUUCCGUGGUGGCUUUUCACUUUCUUUGACUUUUUUUGUUUCCUUAGGAUAAAUGUCCCCUAAGUCCCUGGGUCAAGGAUGUGAACUCUGUAGGUUUGACCGCACUGUUCAACAGCCUCACUUGCGCUCGGAUUAUCGCCUGCCAGUACAGCCGCCAUUUUCAACAAUACUGAAUGCUAAUACUGAAUUCCAGAGUUUGAGAAAGCUCUGCAAACUGCACAGAUUCUAACUGGACAUAGACCAUGACUCUUUCCCCUUCAGGACACAAACACCACCCCUUUCCUCAUCUCUCUUUUGGUGCAAGCCCCUGAUAUUUGUAAGCCGCUUGAGGGAACAUCAAGAAAUCAAUAAUUACGGUUUUUUUUCUUUGAAACAAUGAGUUAUCCAAGCAAUCCUACUUCCCAAUAUGUUUUGUGUUUUUCUAAUAGCAGAAGGUUUUGUUUUGCUUGUUUGUUUCCAAAGUAAACCAAAUAAUACUUUGUUUCAGGUUUGCUGGCUGCCUCAGGGGUUGUUGUGUACAGGGGAGAUGUAUGAAGUUUUUUUCACUGAGCGAAAAGACAUUUCCCCACAUUUGCUCAGUCAUCACUGUUCUCCUCCAGUGUCUCUCUGCACCCCCAUUUUGUUUCCUGUCUAUGCCAAGAUCUCGGGAAAAGCUAUUUGUAGAGUGCAUUUGAAGACAAAAAGCUCUUGUAAUUGAAACCAAAAACUAGUGGAGAGCUGAAGAGACAGCUCAGCAGGUAAAAACACUGCUUUUCCAGAGGACCAAAGUUUGGGUCCUACAAUGGGUGGGUAGGUCACAAGCUCCUGUGACUUCAGGGAAUCUUCUUCUUCUGGUCUCUACAGCAGAAAGGCACACACACACACACACACACACACACACACACACACACACACACACACACAAGCUAGACAUAUGCAUUGGUAACCACUGACGGGGACAGGAGGAGAGUUGGAUGUGCCCAUGUGAUAGACAUGCACACUGGUACCCACUGACCUGGCAGUGUGUGAUAGCAAAAAAGAUGCUGUGAAUCCAGUAAUGUUUUUAAAACAACUCUGCAUCUCAUUAAUUUUAAUAGGACCUAGGUAAAUUUCAAAAACAUUAGUAAAAAAAAAUAAUAAACAUAAGAUGAAGGCAUCUGGCUACCCCUAUCUGGCGUAUGCUUGUGCUCUCAGAUUCCUUGUUUUCUUUUUUACAGAGCAAGGGAAAUGCUGCUCUCAGAACAAGCCAGUGUCUUAUGACCGACAGGGACUUAGCCAAUGAACGAGACUAGGGGAGCACUGUAACCACUGCUUCACUAGUAAUUUUUAAAUUACUUUUUAAAGUGUGUGUCUGUCUGUCUGUCUCUGUCUGUCUGUCUGUGGAGACCAGAAGAUUAUUCCCUGAAGUCACAGAAAGGUUGUGACCCACCCAUUGUAGGAACCAAACUUUGGUCCUCUGGAAAAACCGUGUUCUUACCUGCUGAGCUGUCUCUCCAGAGCUCCCCUAGUUUUGUUUGUUUAGGUUUGGUUUGGACUUUAUUAAUUACAAAAUCUCAGCACUCGGGUGGGGAAGGUGGGCAGGACGUCCCAAGCUUAGCUGAGGAGCUACUGGCCUUUGAUACCUGCUGUGUUUGCUGAGGGGUAAAGUGCAGUCCCGAGCAAAUGUGUAUUCCUGACACAGGCUUGACCAUGGCAAGGACCGCAGUGCCUCAGCUGCCGCCUGGCAGUGGCAAAGGUGGGGCUCGGCAGGAUGGCAAAGCCUUCCUUGGGCAGAAUGGAAACUCUAACAGUGGGCGUGGAAAAUGUCCACCACAGCUGUCUUCCUCAGAAUAUUUACCAUCUGCAGACUGCUCCCCUACAGAGACUGUUCCUACUGAGAUUAGCUAAGCCUGCCUUCCUAAUCCACUGCAUACCAUAAGCCCUGCUUCCUUGUUUUAUCUGCAUGCAGUAACCCUGCCUCUCUCUUCAACAGUGCCCAAUAAACACUGCUUCUGAGGUACCGCACCUUCUCUGUGGGUCAGAGUUUUGCCUCCCAGCUGGGCUAAUACUGCUUGGGGAGGAGAGACACAGGGACGCUAGGCUAUGUUCCUUCCUUGCCACCAUGGGGAGGUAAAAUAUAGCCUAAGAUAGGGGUCCCAGCCCAUGUUUCUUCGGGUGAUAAGCCAUUAGGACUGGGGCAGAACCUGUUGUUCUCUAACUCCGGGGCACUCAGAUGCCUGGAAACCUUGAAGAGGAGAAAGACUUCUUCUCCCCACAGCAGCCCUUGAGGACGAAGACAGUCCUUGCUUGUCCAAACUGUGUACUAAUGGUAGAUGAGAACACACGUGACUUACUCAAGAGGACCAGAAAUUAAAUGCCCAAGAAGGGAGCUUAUCAGCUAAACCCUCAGGUCCCAUUUAGUUACCUCAUUAGCAUGGAGAACUCUAGGCUCUAUGCUGUGAGAUCCAUUAUCAUGGUCCUCUUAUUGGGGGUGUCAUGAUCGUGUACUCCGGAAUAGGAAUCUGGUUGGGACCAGAUUAAGAUGUCUAUCAUUCUCAAUUAUGAGAACUGCGGGGUUCCUUAAUCUGCUUAACCUUACCAGUUUCUCUGUCUGGUGACACAGUUCCCCUUGUUCCACACUUCUCCGUCAAAGAGACCUGGUUAUCCAUCCCAGCAUUUCUCUGCUCAUGUGUCUGCCAUUUCUUUGUUCCCUCAUUGUCCCUAAUCAGAGGUUUGGAUCCCCAACCAUGCAAGGACAAAACAGUUGUGGUCUCUGGUAGAUUGACGGUGUGGGGCUCACACCCAAGACUACUUGGGCGACACAAAUUGGACUCAAAGUAUUUGUAAGAUAGAGACAGCACACAGAAUUGGACGGAUCUGGGGGGAGUUGGGAGGUAAAUAUGAUCACAAUAC